UACGAAGGGGGCUAGCGUUGUUCGGAAUCACUGGGCGUAAAGCGCACGUAGGCGGAUUUUUAAGUCAGGGGUGAAAUCCCGGGGCUCAACCUCGGAACUGCCUUUGAUACUGGAGAUCUUGAGUCCGGAAGAGGUAAGUGGAACUGCGAGUGUAGAGGUGAAAUUCGUAGAUAUUCGCAAGAACACCAGUGGCGAAGGCGGCCUACUGGUCCGGAACUGACGCUGAGGUGCGAAAGCGUGGGGAGCAAACAGG
Molecule: ribosomal RNA, 253 nt
Filed under: uncultured bacterium
Lineage: Bacteria
Description: partial 16S ribosomal RNA
Rfam family: Bacterial small subunit ribosomal RNA
Source: RNAcentral